RNAcentral lists this ribosomal RNA (626 nucleotides) under Buellia subsororioides. RNAcentral's name for it is "eukaryotic LSU rRNA". The stretch from base 257 to 413 matches the Rfam family "5.8S ribosomal RNA". The record is from RNAcentral. Lineage: Eukaryota; Fungi; Ascomycota; Lecanoromycetes; Caliciales; Caliciaceae.
CUUGGUCAUUUAGAGGAAGUAAAAGUCGUAACAAGGUUUCCGUAGGUGAACUGCGGAAGGAUCAUUACCGAGAGAAGGGGUCUAACCGGCUCCACUCUUCACCCGUGUAUACCCUUCACCUGUUGCUUUGGCGAGCCGUCGAGCCCCGCUGCUCGGCGUCGGCUGGAAGGUCCACGCCCCCCGUCCGACGAGCGCUCGCCAGAGGCCUCCAGCAUUCUUCUUUUGAUGAUGUCCGAGGGGAUUGAGCAAUAACUAAAACUUUCAACAACGGAUCUCUUGGUUCUGGCAUCGAUGAAGAACGCAGCGAAAUGCGAUAAGUAAUGUGAAUUGCAGAAUUCAGUGAACCAUCGAAUCUUUGACCUACGCACAUUGCGCCCUUCGGCAAUCCGGGGGGCAUGCCUGUUCGAGCGUCAUUAGCGCUCAAGCAUUGCUUGGUCCUGGGGGCAGCCUCCGUGGCCCUCCCGAAAGGCAGUGGUGGCUCAACGAGACCCCCGGCGUAGCAAGAUUUUACGUCCCGCCCCGGUCGCUCUCGAUUGGUCCGACCAGCCGAAAGUGUUCACUUCCAUGACUGACCUCGGAUCAGGUAGGGAUACCCGCUGAACUUAAGCAUAUCAAUAAGCGGAGGA